GGCUUAUUGAAGUGGUUUAUGUGCGGGGGAAAAAAAGUGUCCUUGUUUUCAUUUUUCAAAGUAGAGUUAAUAUAAAUUGUCCCUUUUUUAUGAAUUCAAACAGCACCAGUCUUGCAAAGACUUGUCAUUAAGCAGCAUUGGGAAGUCUGUAAUUGGACAGUCCCAGAAAGGCGGGUUAGAAUGGGAGGGCUUGUAAAGGCUCCAGACAAG
Molecule: non-coding RNA, 210 nt
Organism: Pelobates cultripes (western spadefoot toad)
Lineage: Eukaryota; Metazoa; Chordata; Amphibia; Anura; Pelobatidae
Source: the annotation of a GenBank genome assembly